Molecule: non-coding RNA, 113 nt
Organism: Acanthosepion pharaonis
Lineage: Eukaryota; Metazoa; Mollusca; Cephalopoda; Sepiida; Sepiidae
Source: the annotation of a GenBank genome assembly
UUACGGCCACAUCACUUAGAAACACCGGUUCCUGUAUGAUCACCGAAGUUAAGCAGCGACCCAGCCUGGUCAGUACCUAUAUGGGUAACCGCUUGAGAAUACCAGGUGCUGCA